GAUGAAGAACGGAGCGAAAUGCGAUAAGUAAUGUGAAUUGCAGAAUUCAGUGAAUCAUCGAAUCUUUGAACGCACAUUGCGCCCGCCAGUAUUCUGGCGGGCAUGCCUGUUCGAGCGUCAUUACAACCCUCAGGCCCCCGGGCCUGGCGUUGGGGAUCGGCGGAGCCCCCCGUGGGCACACGCCGUCCCCCAAAUGCAGUGGCGGUCCCGCCGCAGCUUCCAUCGCGUAGUAGCUAACACCUCGCGACUGGAGAGCGGCGCGGCCACGCCGUAAAACACCCAACUCUUCUGAAGUUGACCUCGAAUCAGGGAGGAAUACCCGCUGAACUUAAGCAUAUCAAUAAGCGGAGGA
This 352-nucleotide unclassified non-coding RNA is filed under the name soil metagenome. RNAcentral's name for it is "partial contains 5.8S ribosomal RNA, internal transcribed spacer 2, and large subunit ribosomal RNA". The stretch from base 1 to 120 matches the Rfam family "5.8S ribosomal RNA", at positions 35 to 154 of the family's 154-position model. The record is from RNAcentral.